GACGAACCGUGCGAACGUUGUUCGGAAUCACUGGGCUUAAAGGGCGCGUAGGCGGGUCUUCAAGUUUGGGGUGAAAUCCUCUGGCUCAACCGGAGAACUGCCUCGAAUACUGAAGGUCUCGAGGGGGAUAGGGGCAUGCGGAACUACGGGUGGAGCGGUGAAAUGCGUUGAUAUCCGUAGGAACUCCGGUGGCGAAGGCGGCGUGCUGGAUCCCUUCUGACGCUGAGGCGCGAAAGCCAGGGGAGCAAACGGG
This 253-nucleotide ribosomal RNA is filed under the name uncultured bacterium. Its description in RNAcentral is "partial 16S ribosomal RNA". It matches the Rfam family "Bacterial small subunit ribosomal RNA", at positions 524 to 776 of the family's 1533-position model. The record is from RNAcentral.